This 245-nucleotide ribosomal RNA is filed under the name uncultured bacterium. RNAcentral's name for it is "partial 16S ribosomal RNA". It matches the Rfam family "Bacterial small subunit ribosomal RNA", at positions 103 to 334 of the family's 1533-position model. The record is from RNAcentral.
CGGGUGAGUAACGCGUAGGUAAUCUAUCCUUACAUUUGGGAUAACAUUGGGAAACUGGUGCUAAUACCGAAUGGUCUUCUUUGCUGCGGGGCGAAGGAGUAAAGGUGGCCUCUUCAUGAAAGCUACCGUGUAGGGAUGAGCCUGCGUACCAUUAGCUAGUAGGUGGGGUAACGGCCCACCUAGGCUACGAUGGUUAGCGGGUCUGAGAGGAUGAUCCGCCACACUGGAACUGUAACACGGACCAG